Molecule: transfer RNA, 75 nt
Filed under: Verrucomicrobiota bacterium
Lineage: Bacteria; Pseudomonadati; Verrucomicrobiota
Description: Verrucomicrobia bacterium (freshwater metagenome) tRNA-Val
Rfam family: tRNA
About the family: Transfer RNA (tRNA) molecules are approximately 80 nucleotides in length. Their secondary structure includes four short double-helical elements and three loops (D, anti-codon, and T loops). Further hydrogen bonds mediate the characteristic L-shaped molecular structure. tRNAs have two regions of fundamental functional importance: the anti-codon, which is responsible for specific mRNA codon recognition, and the 3' end, to which the tRNAs corresponding amino acid is attached (by aminoacyl-tRNA synthetases). tRNAs cope with the degeneracy of the genetic code in two manners: having more than one tRNA (with a specific anti-codon) for a particular amino acid; and 'wobble' base-pairing, i.e. permitting non-standard base-pairing at the 3rd anti-codon position.
Source: RNAcentral
GCGCGCUUGGCACAGUGGUAGCGCACUUCCUUCACACGGAAGGGGUCGCAGGUUCGAAUCCUGCAGCGCGCACCA